Molecule: long non-coding RNA, 1108 nt
Organism: Ictalurus punctatus (channel catfish)
Lineage: Eukaryota; Metazoa; Chordata; Actinopteri; Siluriformes; Ictaluridae
Source: Ensembl
CGACUAGUUAGCGAAUUAUAAGUUAUGCCUCUUGAUAAACCAGAAUUCCUACCUAGCGACUACUAACACAAACUGUUUUCACAUAUCUCGCGAUAAAUUGCGAAAUCUCUUUCAUCUUACCUCAUUCACUGGUCUUAUUCGGUCAACAGUGCGGUAAUUAUGCUGCAACGUUACAGCUUUUUCUAGUUUGUUUGACACACGCGAGCAGUACAACCUUGUGUAUGCCAUGGUAUCUCCAUGGCAACGACGGGAGGUAGCAUAAAGGUGGCUUGACGUUGGACGCCCCAUAUUCGAAUGUUCGGUGUUUGAAAUGAACCCGUAAGAACCCACGGUGACACAGGUGUCACAAAUACUGGGGUGUGCUGGAAAGGUCCUUUUAAAGCGUUAUCCCUGACUUUUUAACUCAGGAAAUCCCUAAGUAACAUCAACUGAACAGCCAGACCCUGCUAUCAUCUCUACAUUUCACUGACAAGACUGAUUUGUCAAACAGGUGACACUGGGGAAAAAACAGCACUUGGCAUAGGAGGUGACAUUGUGGUUGAACUGUGUGAAACUCUCCCAUCAAACCAAAACUACAAAGGAUUUGUGGACAAUUUUUUUUUCCUCUCCAGCACUGGUUCUCCAGCUUCUUCAGCGACAGAUCUACUUUGUAGGAACACUCCAUUGCAAUCGCUUAGCUGGUUGUCAGCUUGAAAAUGAGAAGUUUUGCCAAGCAAGGGACAUGUUUUUACAAUGUUGUUGCACUAUUUACAUGUUUAGCUUGUUGAGAAGACCUCCAGUGUGAGGUAGUUAUUUAUUUUAUUCAGUUUGCACAUAUUCAUGUUUUAAUUUGUGGUUAAGCCUUUCCCGAAAAGUUAUCAUUUUGAUAUGUUAUGGAAAUGCAAGUAAAAAGGCUGUUUUUUUUGUUUGUUUGUUUUUUUUUUCCUUUUCAAAUUAAGUUGUUGUAUAACUACAUAACUAUAACCAUCAAAGUUAUAGUUUUGAGAUGUGGAAAAAAACUCUGAAAAAUUGUUUUUAAACUUAAUGGUCACAGUUAUGUAGUUUUAAAAUAUGUUGUGGUAAAGCAAAUAAAAUGCUAAAACUAUUCUGAAAAAUAUUUUUGUUAUAC